RNAcentral lists this long non-coding RNA (1240 nucleotides) under Homo sapiens (human). RNAcentral's name for it is "HSALNT0070488". The record is from RNAcentral. Lineage: Eukaryota; Metazoa; Chordata; Mammalia; Primates; Hominidae.
CAAGUGCAGCCGAUCAGACGUGCCUAGGAAAGCGAUGAUGCCCAUCGAUUGGUGUGAACUUUCUAGAAACGUCUAGGAAACAGGAUGUUUGCGCUUGGGAUUUACCCACCAUAUUGUGAGGAAGCCUAUACUACAUGGAGAGGCCAUGUGAUGUUCCAGCCAACAGUACCGUGUCAGAUGCCAGCUGCCAGCCAGCAUCAACUCCAGACAGGCUUUAACUCUGUGCUGAAAAAGCAGAUGCCUAGAUCUGUGGGGGAACACACAGGGCAGCCCAAAUCCUCCUGAGGAUUCCAAGCUUGAGUCCUGUCAUUUCCAAGAUGGAACCAUGUAGUUGCAGGAAAACAAGUGCAAGGCUUCUACUGAUUCUACAUUAUGGAUACCCUGUUGGAACUUUCUACUCCAUAACAAGAAGCAGCGGACAUUCCAAUGAGUUUUAUGCAUAAGUGUCUGUACUCCUCCCUGACCAUGUGCUUCAGGAGACGCCAAUCCCAGCCCCAUUCCUAGACCACAGUGGCGAAUCAGUUUGAUCUAAGCCAAUCAUGUUGAUGCUAUUCUAGUUAGCUGUGAUUGGCUGAGGAAGAUGUGGGUUGAUGAAGAUAAUCCCCCCACUCUCCACAGCCACUGAGAAGAUUAGGUCCUUCUUUGGAUUUGAAUGUAUUUUUCUAUUAAUAUCUAUAAAUGUUUUCAAUCUCCAUAACACUAUUAUACUUUUGUUAGCUCAUGUCAAACUUGUAUAAAACUAAUACCCCUGGAUCAAUUUUACAUGAAGGGUUAUUAAACCAGGUUAACUGUCUUCUGUAGCACUGUCUGUGAUUUUCUGAACAAAAUUCAGGGUUGAUAAUCUUUCUCCAACUUCAAAAUAUAGUACAAGAAGUGAAAUUUAUUUCUGUACACCUGUUUGGUAACUGUUGGAAUUUCAGUUCCAGAAAAACAGAAUUGUGUGGAUUGUGAGUCACUUCUGCUGGGGAUAAUUAGAAAGAGAGGAAAUUGGGAGUUGGGAGUGAAAAGGGGAGAUCAAGCAGAUGGCAGAGGAAGGAUGGAGAUUUUCACAGUGAAUCCUUGGGGAGACAAAGGAAGAUAAAGCACAGUAAACUCAUAAGGGUAUUCAGGUGACAUCUGUGAGGAGGAGUCGAGGAGCCGGGAGUCGAGAUAUGAGAGAGAGGAUUUGAUAGACAUGUGAUCUGGGGAGGGGACAGAAGCAUCUUCUGAGUCAUGCAAUCAAGAAGGCAUUGAUCAUUUG